UGGGGAAUAUUGGACAAUGGGCGAAAGCCUGAUCCAGCCAUGCCGCGUGUGUGAAGAAGGUCUUCGGAUUGUAAAGCACUUUAAGUUGGGAGGAAGGGCAGUAACCUAAUACGUUGCUGUCUUGACGUUACCGACAGAAUAAGCACCGGCUAACUCUGUGCCAGCAGCCGCGGUAAUACAGAGGGUGCAAGCGUUAAUCGGAAUUACUGGGCGUAAAGCGCGCGUAGGUGGUUUGUUAAGUUGGAUGCGAAAUCCCCGGGCUCAACCUGGGAACUGCAUUCAAAACUGACAAGCUAGAGUAUGGUAGAGGGUGGUGGAAUUUCCUGUGUAGCGGUGAAAUGCGUAGAUAUAGGAAGGAACACCAGUGGCGAAGGCGACCACCUGGACUGAUACUGACACUGAGGUGCGAAAGCGUGGGGAGCAAACAGGAUUAGAUACCCCCGUAGUCCCUG
Molecule: ribosomal RNA, 452 nt
Filed under: uncultured bacterium
Lineage: Bacteria
Description: bacterial SSU rRNA
Rfam family: Bacterial small subunit ribosomal RNA
Source: RNAcentral